CCCUUAGAUGGUCUGGGCGGCACGCGCGCUACAAUGAUGCAUUCAAAAAGUCUUCUGACCUUAGAAGGUUGGGUAUUCUCCAAAGUACAUCGUGAUGGGAAUAGUUUAUUGCAAUUUUUAAUCUUGAACGAGGAAUUCCUAGUAAGUACAGGUCAUCAACUUGUGUUGAUUACGUCCCUGCCCUUUGUACACACCGCCCGUCGCUCCUACUGAUUGAAUGUUCCGGUGAGCUCUUCGGACUGCGCGGUCUGCAGUUUCUGCGUUCCGUGCGGAAAGUUGCGCAAACCUUAACAUUUAGAGGAAGGAGAAGUCGUAACA
Molecule: ribosomal RNA, 318 nt
Filed under: uncultured eukaryote
Lineage: Eukaryota
Description: partial 18S ribosomal RNA
Rfam family: Eukaryotic small subunit ribosomal RNA
Source: RNAcentral